RNAcentral lists this ribosomal RNA (496 nucleotides) under uncultured bacterium. Its description in RNAcentral is "partial 16S ribosomal RNA". It matches the Rfam family "Bacterial small subunit ribosomal RNA", at positions 28 to 506 of the family's 1533-position model. The record is from RNAcentral.
GAUGAACGCUGGCGGCGUGCCUAAUACAUGCAAGUCGAGCGAACGGACGAGAAGCUUGCUUCUCUGAUGUUAGCGGCGGACGGGUGAGUAACACGUGGAUAACCUACCUAUAAGACUGGGAUAACUUCGGGAAACCGGAGCUAAUACCGGAUAAUAUUUUGAACCGCAUGGUUCAAAAGUGAAAGACGGUCUUGCUGUCACUUAUAGAUGGACCCGCGCUGCAUUAGUUAGUUGGUAAGGUAACGGCUUACCAAGGCAACGAUGCAUAGCCGACCGGAGAGGUGGAUCGGCCAACCGGGAACUGAGAAACGGCCCAGACCCCAAGGGGAGGCAGAAGUAGGGAAUCUGCCGCAAGGGGCGAAAGCCUGACGGAGCAACGCCGCGGGAGUGAUGAAGGUCUUCGGUUCGUAAAACUCUGUUAUUAGGGAAGAACAUAUGUGUAAGUAACUGUGCACAUCUUGACGGUACCUAAGCAGAAAGCCACGGCUACCUACGU